RNAcentral lists this long non-coding RNA (745 nucleotides) under Pan troglodytes (chimpanzee). RNAcentral describes it as "long non-coding RNA NONPTRT002288". The record is from RNAcentral. Lineage: Eukaryota; Metazoa; Chordata; Mammalia; Primates; Hominidae.
UGGAAGAGAUACAUUGCUAUUUACAGAUUGCAAACCACACGAAUACAAUUUAAAAAUUGCUACCUGAUAGCAUUUUUUCUCUUUUUCAGCCUCCAAAUUAUUCUUAAACCUAGUAACCACUAUAGCACAAUCUGAUAUCUUUUACACAGUCUGUAUUCUUUCAUUUUUCCAUACAUUUAAAAAAUCUUAUAAAUGCAGAGAUAUUCCAUUUUCCUAGAAAUAACCAGAAUUUUCAGGGGAUAGUUACCUUACUCUUUUCACUAUCUGAGCAUGGUCCAAUAGAAAUAUAAUGUGAAUUAAUAUGCUCCCCAUCAUGUCUACAGCCCCUUUAUUUAUGCCAGGAAAUUCUUGAUAAAUGAGUCUUAGCCAAGUUUAUAUUAAUUACAUGUUGUAAAAUACCCCAGUUUCUACAGGGCUCAAUCAAGUGCUUCAUGUUACUUGACACUCCCAGUCACCAAACAUGUAUUCAUUGAUCAUUGACUUUGUGCCUGGGUGAUUGUUUUCCAACCCUAUAUAAAGAAAUAAAAACAAAUUCAGCAAUCAGCAAUGCAAAAUUCAGUGUCUGGCAUUCAAUAUAAUAUUAUUAAGCAUGCAAUAAGGCAGGACCCAUAACCAAGAGAAAAAUCAAUCUAUAGAACAAAUUCCCAAAUGACAGAGGUGACUGAAUUAGCAGAAAAUAUGUGAAAAUGUAUAUUAAAAUAUGUUUACUCAAGAAUUUAGAUCUAUCAAACUUUUAACCAAAGAG